This 535-nucleotide ribosomal RNA is filed under the name uncultured Methanosarcinales archaeon. RNAcentral's name for it is "bacterial SSU rRNA". It matches the Rfam family "Archaeal small subunit ribosomal RNA", at positions 339 to 875 of the family's 1478-position model. The record is from RNAcentral. Lineage: Archaea; Methanobacteriati; Methanobacteriota; Methanomicrobia; Methanosarcinales.
GCGCGAAAACUUUACAAUGCCGGCAACGGCGAUAAGGGAACCUCGAGUGCCAGGAUACAAUUCUGGCUGUCGUGAUGCCUAAAAAGCAUUGCAUAGCAAGGGCCGGGCAAGACCGGUGCCAGCCGCCGCGGUAACACCGGCGGCUCGAGUGGUAACCGUUAUUAUUGGGUCUAAAGGGUCUGUAGCCGGCCGGAUAAGUCUCUUGGGAAAUCCGGCAGCUCAACUGUCGGGCUAUCAGGAGAUACUGUCUGGCUCGAGGCCGGGAGAGGUGAGAGGUACUUCAGGGGUAGGGGUGAAAUCUUGUAAUCCUUGAAGGACCACCAGUGGCGAAGGCGUCUCACCAGAACGGACCUGACGGCAAGGGACGAAAGCUAGGGGCACGAACCGGAUUAGAUACCCGGGUAGUCCUAGCCGUAAACGAUACUCGCUAGGUGUCGGCCACGGUGCGACCGUGGUCGGUGCCGUAGGGAAGCCGUGAAGCGAGCCACCUGGGAAGUACGGCCGCAAGGCUGAAACUUAAGGAAUUGGCGGGGGA